ACUUAAAUUGAAGAGUUUGAUCAUGGCUCAGAUUGAACGCUGGCGGCAGGCCUAACACAUGCAAGUCGAGCGGUAGCACAGAGAGCUUGCUCUCGGGUGACGAGCGGCGGACGGGUGAGUAAUGUCUGGGAAACUGCCUGAUGGAGGGGGAUAACUACUGGAAACGGUAGCUAAUACCGCAUAAUGUCGCAAGACCAAAGUGGGGGACCUUCGGGCCUCAUGCCAUCAGAUGUGCCCAGAUGGGAUUAGCUAGUAGGUGGGGUAACGGCUCACCUAGGCGACGAUCCCUAGCUGGUCUGAGAGGAUGACCAGCCACACUGGAACUGAGACACGGUCCAGACUCCUACGGGAGGCAGCAGUGGGGAAUAUUGCACAAUGGGCGCAAGCCUGAUGCAGCCAUGCCGCGUGUGUGAAGAAGGCCUUCGGGUUGUAAAGCACUUUCAGCGGGGAGGAAGGCGUUAAGGUUAAUAACCUUGGCGAUUGACGUUACCCGCAGAAGAAGCACCGGCUAACUCCGUGCCAGCAGCCGCGGUAAUACGGAGGGUGCAAGCGUUAAUCGGAAUUACUGGGCGUAAAGCGCACGCAGGCGGUCUGUCAAGUCGGAUGUGAAAUCCCCGGGCUUAACCUGGGAACUGCAUUCGAAACUGGCAGGCUAGAGUCUUGUAGAGGGGGGUAGAAUUCCAGGUGUAGCGGUGAAAUGCGUAGAGAUCUGGAGGAAUACCGGUGGCGAAGGCGGCCCCCUGGACAAAGACUGACGCUCAGGUGCGAAAGCGUGGGGAGCAAACAGGAUUAGAUACCCUGGUAGUCCACGCCGUAAACGAUGUCGAUUUGGAGGUUGUGCCCUUGAGGCGUGGCUUCCGGAGCUAACGCGUUAAAUCGACCGCCUGGGGAGUACGGCCGCAAGGUUAAAACUCAAAUGAAUUGACGGGGGCCCGCACAAGCGGUGGAGCAUGUGGUUUAAUUCGAUGCAACGCGAAGAACCUUACCUGGUCUUGACAUCCACAGAACUUAGCAGAGAUGCUUUGGUGCCUUCGGGAACUGUGAGACAGGUGCUGCAUGGCUGUCGUCAGCUCGUGUUGUGAAAUGUUGGGUUAAGUCCCGCAACGAGCGCAACCCUUAUCCUUUGUUGCCAGCGGUCCGGCCGGGAACUCAAAGGAGACUGCCAGUGAUAAACUGGAGGAAGGUGGGGAUGACGUCAAGUCAUCAUGGCCCUUACGACCAGGGCUACACACGUGCUACAAUGGCAUAUACAAAGAGAAGCGACCUCGCGAGAGCAAGCGGACCUCAUAAAGUAUGUCGUAGUCCGGAUUGGAGUCUGCAACUCGACUCCAUGAAGUCGGAAUCGCUAGUAAUCGUAGAUCAGAAUGCUACGGUGAAUACGUUCCCGGGCCUUGUACACACCGCCCGUCACACCAUGGGAGUGGGUUGCAAAAGAAGUAGGUAGCUUAACCUUCGGGAGGGCGCUUACCACUUUGUGAUUCAUGACUGGGGUGAAGUCGUAACAAGGUAACCGUAGGGGAACCUGCGGUUGGAUCACCUCCUUACCUUAAAGAA
RNAcentral lists this ribosomal RNA (1554 nucleotides) under Klebsiella pneumoniae. RNAcentral describes it as "bacterial SSU rRNA". It matches the Rfam family "Bacterial small subunit ribosomal RNA". The record is from RNAcentral. Lineage: Bacteria; Pseudomonadati; Pseudomonadota; Gammaproteobacteria; Enterobacterales; Enterobacteriaceae.